Molecule: ribosomal RNA, 346 nt
Filed under: uncultured eukaryote
Lineage: Eukaryota
Description: SSU rRNA
Rfam family: Eukaryotic small subunit ribosomal RNA
Source: RNAcentral
AUAGCGUAUAUUAAAGUUGUUGCAGUUAAAAAGCUCGUAGUUGAACUUCAGACCUGGCCGGACGGUCUGCCUAACGGUAUGUACUGUCUGGCUGGGCCUUACCUCUUGGUGAGCCGGCAUGCCCUUCACUGGGUGUGUCGGGGAACCAGGACUUUUACCUUGAGAAAAUUAGAGUGUUCAAAGCAGGCCUAUGCCCGAAUACAUUAGCAUGGAAUAAUAAAAUAGGACGUGCGGUUCUAUUUUGUUGGUUUCUAGAGUCGCCGUAAUGAUUAAUAGGGAUAGUUGGGGGCAUUGGUAUUGAGUCGCUAGAGGUGAAAUUCUUGGAUUGACUCAAGACCAACUAUUG